CAGUCACUUGCAUGCUCACAGUGACAGCUGAAAUGUCACAUAAUCUUAUGGUCUGCAGCAGGAUAGUUUGUGGUGUGGUAUGUAUGAGCAGUCUCGUUUACUAAUGGAAACUGCGAGAUAUGAAGGCAAAAAGAGGUGCCUAAGAGGAGGUUUCCAGGAGUGGCAGAGCCUCUCUGGGGGAGGUAAAACCUCGGGGAGGAACCAGAAAAGGAAGAAGCUGGAGCAGGAACAAGCUGGGGGCAAGGAAGGACAGGGCUACGUGUACAUCAUAUGCAGAAAAGAGGCAAAAGCUGUCAGAGAACUACUUCACAGUGAAACAGUUCUUGACUAUUCGGUCAAACUCGGUAUUGGUGUUGCUCUCUUCUGGGCAGGAACUGGACUAACCAUAUUUUUCCUUUUCCUUGUUUCU
Gallus gallus (chicken) is the source of this 409-nucleotide long non-coding RNA. RefSeq lists it as uncharacterized. The record is from RefSeq and is a predicted model, not a curated record. Lineage: Eukaryota; Metazoa; Chordata; Aves; Galliformes; Phasianidae. The transcript is spliced from 3 exons.